Molecule: ribosomal RNA, 207 nt
Filed under: uncultured bacterium
Lineage: Bacteria
Description: partial 16S ribosomal RNA
Rfam family: Bacterial small subunit ribosomal RNA
Source: RNAcentral
UGCGUAGGUGGCAUGGCAAGUUUGAUGUGAAAGCUCAGGGCUUAACCCUGAAAUGGCAUUGAAUACUGCUGGGCUGGAGGUUUGGAGGGGGGACUGGAAUUCUUGGUGUAGCAGUGAAAUGCGUAGAUAUCAAGAGGAACACCAGUGGCGAAGGCGAGUCCCUGGACAACACCUGACACUGAGGCACAAAGGCCGGGGGAGCAAACA